Molecule: small RNA, 124 nt
Filed under: Marmota monax (woodchuck)
Lineage: Eukaryota; Metazoa; Chordata; Mammalia; Rodentia; Sciuridae
Source: RNAcentral
GCCAGGCGUGGUGGUGCACACCUGUAAUCCCAGUAGCUGAAAGGCUGAGACAGGAGAAUUGCGAGUUCAAAGCCAGCCUCAGCAAAAGCAAGGCAUUAAGCAACUUAGUGAGACCCUGUCUUUC